RNAcentral lists this ribosomal RNA (895 nucleotides) under uncultured Gammaproteobacteria bacterium. RNAcentral describes it as "bacterial SSU rRNA". It matches the Rfam family "Bacterial small subunit ribosomal RNA", at positions 598 to 1492 of the family's 1533-position model. Lineage: Bacteria; Pseudomonadati; Pseudomonadota; Gammaproteobacteria. The record is from RNAcentral.
AAGCCCUGGGCUCAACCUAGGAAUUGCACUUAAAACUGGUUAACUAGAGUAUUGUAGAGGAAGGUAGAAUUCCACGUGUAGCGGUGAAAUGCGUAGAGAUGUGGAGGAAUACCGAUGGCGAAGGCGGCCUUCUGGACAGAUACUGACGCUGAGAUGCGAAAGCGUGGGGAGCAAACAGGAUUAGAUACCCUGGUAGUCCACGCUGUAAACGAUGUCGAUUUGGAGUUUGUUGCCCUGAGUGAUGGGCUCCGAAGCUAACGCGAUAAAUCGACCGCCUGGGGAGUACGGCCGCAAGGUUAAAACUCAAAUGAAUUGACGGGGGCCCGCACAAGCGGUGGAGCAUGUGGUUUAAUUCGAUGCAACGCGAAGAACCUUACCUGGUCUUGACAUCCACAGAAUCUUGCAGAGAUGCGAGAGUGCCUUCGGGAACUGUGAGACAGGUGCUGCAUGGCUGUCGUCAGCUCGUGUUGUGAAAUGUUGGGUUAAGUCCCGCAACGAGCGCAACCCUUAUCCUUUGUUGCCAUUGGUUCGGCCGGGAACUCAAAGGAGACUGCCGUUGAUAAAGCGGAGGAAGGUGGGGACGACGUCAAGUCAUCAUGGCCCUUACGACCAGGGCUACACACGUGCUACAAUGGCGUAUACAAAGGGAGGCGACCUCGCGAGAGCAAGCGGACCUCAUAAAGUACGUCUAAGUCCGGAUUGGAGUCUGCAACUCGACUCCAUGAAGUCGGAAUCGCUAGUAAUCGUGAAUCAGAAUGUCACGGUGAAUACGUUCCCGGGCCUUGUACACACCGCCCGUCACACCAUGGGAGUGGGUUGCACCAGAAGUAGAUAGCUUAACCGCGAGGGGGGCGUUUACCANCGGUGUGGUCCAUGACUGGGGUGAAGUCGUAAC